UCUCUCUCUCUCUCUCUCUCUCUCUCUCUCUCUCUCUCUCUCUGCAGUAUUGUUUAACAGACAUUUGCUAUUUUUAAAGUGAUUUUAUCAGGUUCUGGUUCUGUUUCUAGUAAAUUCCCAGAUGAACAGAGAGCAAACGCUUCAGUAAAGCGUUCGGAGAGCGAGAACUUGUAACUGGUCAGCAGAUGCUGGGCGUACAUGUGUAAGUUGGCGGUUGGUUAGUUAAUGUAGAACACGAACAAAACGCAUGCGUAACCUUAACCCAUAACUAACAGUGAACUUAAUAGAAACUAUGUAUUAGAUAAACCGGAUGCUCUCUUCAUAUUGAAUAAAUAUUAUUAUACGAGAAUAAAGCCAAGUUAUAAGAGAAGUAUUUUAAAUGUGUAGAGUCACAUUAACAAACACAUUAAAAUGACGGAAAGGUAACAACUUCACACACUACUAAAACUUGAAAUAUGGUUAACAUUGUCAUUCAAUCUACUUUAUAUUGCUUUAGAGAGUAUGUACGAGUAGUAUUCAAUGAAAGCACCAAAGGCGAAUGUAAGUACACUAAAUACACUAUGUCAGCUAGUUUUGUUCCCUUAGCGAAAACGAAAUAUUCUUGAGUUUUCUGAACAGUCAAUUUAAAGGACCAUGGUCACGAUCUUGGUCAAAUUCUAUUUUUCUGUUUUUAUUUUUUACAAUGCUUUAGUAAUGCAUUUCUAAUGAUCAAAUGAAAUUUAAGAAUCAGUCAUUUUGUCAUAAGGAAGAUACAGAGCUCAAAAUUCUUUGUCCUGUAAACAAAGUUCUUGCCCUAUAUUUGUUUACAUAGUUUCAAUAUACCAGUAAAAUUUUUUUUCACGAUUUGUCUAUCUUCUUAAUCAUUUUAAGCAUUAAUAAAUAGUUCCUAACGUUUAACACUUUUAUUCUUGGUUUUAAGUUGGCUCUAUACACCCACAAUUUAUUCCAACAUUCAAUAAAAGACCAUAAAACAGAUACUUAUCAAAUAUGAAAAUGAUGAUAGUGAUACUAUAGGUAUAUUUAAAGAUUUUUAAAAAUGUUUUUUUGUGUUUUAGUAAAAUAAUUUCUUAAAAGUUAAUAAUUAACAAAUUGAAAGAAAUGUUUUUGUCUUAUGAUACAUAACAAAGAAUCGCUUAUAACAAAAAAGAAUGGCUCUCAAAUUUUGGUUGCCUAUUAAAAAUGCCUUACUGAAGCACUGUAUACAUUAAAAUUGGAAAAAUAAUUUUUGACCAAAAUUGUGACCAUGCCCCUUUUAAGGUCGACUUCUGUACAAUGUGCAUGCAAUGUAUAAUUUAUAAUGCAAAGUUUGUUUUAGCCAAUGAGAGCUAUGUGGCAAAAGAAUGAUGGUUAUUAUUACAGAAUACUUCACAACAAAGCACACAGACAGAUAGGCAUCACACUGAAAAGAUAACGCUUACAACAAAACACGCAAUCAAUGAAAAAAGACGUUUGGAGCUAUGACAGAGAUCCUUUCCAAAGAUGCUUUACACUUAGUUUUUGUAAAGGUAAAAUAUAUAGAUACAAAAAAGGCAUGGAUGUUGCUGCUGAUAUGAAUGACAUCACCACUGUACAUUUAAGGACAUCACCAGAGAGAAGUUUUUAUUGGAAAAAAACCCACGGAUUUUAACGAACUUCAGAUACCUUACAUGCAGUUAGCAGCCAUUUCUUUUGAACAAGACCCUCUUGUUUCAUAUGAGCAUAAUCAGUAAUAUGAGUGAAGGUGGAAACAAACAAACAGAAUUCACAUUUAAAGGUAGCAUUCUGAGGCGGCAAGGGCAGCCAGUGCUGAUGAUAGACUAAAUCAGAUUGUCAAUUUUUAUUGUAUCAUCCUCCAAACCAUACUUAAUGGGAGACAACUUUUAAAACACUUAUACACAAAUCUAAGAUCUAAUCUUAUUGAAUGUUUCAAGGAUAAAAUUUCAGGAAUUAAUGAACAUAUAAAACUAUCAAGGAAAAGGAUAGAAAAAAGUCAACUGUAUCAAAUUAUAAGCGAGAAAUAUUAGUGUUUUCUGUUUACGAGUAGACUACGAUGCAAAAGAUGAUAUGAUUGUUGUUAUCAGUUUAAAGCUGCUCUAUAAGAAAGAGUUAGCAAUCCAUCAUGAAAAUACUGAUGUGUUAAGCUCAGCUUGUUCCAGUAAUACGUCAUCAAUUUAACCUUUUGUUUUUAAGAAAGUAAUUCCAUCUCUUUUGUGCAAAGACUUGUAUCAUUUUUACAUAUAUUAGUAAAGUGAAAGUUAUUUACGUACGAGAAACCAUUAUUGGCAUAUUACACUGUUUUAAGUGAGUCACCAUCAUGCCCUAAAGGGUAUGUAUUUUUAGAUCAACAAAUGUGAUUAAAAAUUUAGAAUUAUUGAAUUCAUAUUUGAUGUUUUCAAAUGAACAUAUGGUUUAUGAGUGGUCUCUAUAUAUAGAGAGAAUAUCUAUAUUACGUCCCGUUUUGUAAUUUUAACAGUACAUAGUUCUGAGUUAUACAUGUAGAUUUAUCAUUGUUAUGUACAUGUAGUUUAAAUUUUGUGAAUGUCGUUUGUGAAUUCAUGAUACUGAAUUGAAUAGAAUCAGUUUAGUGCGAAUAAAGUCGGUAUUACGGUUUUGAUCUGCAAUGAGAUUUCAGACGUUUUAAGUAUACAUGUAUAUGUAUAUAAUUAUGUGUUCUGCUAAUUGCAAAAGUUUUGAAAAAUAAAUUCGUACUUAAUACAUGUGCAUCUUCUACAAAGAGACUUACAUUGUAAGGUGUUCAUAAAGCAAACAAAUAAGGUGUAUGUGUUAUUUUCUAUAAAAAUUAUUCCAUGUUUUUUUUUUCGAGCACUAAUUCAUUGAGUGGUAAUGAUCUAAGUAUGUUAUAUAGGGCGUAAAAACAAAGCUUAUUUUAAGUGUUAUUUUUAGUAUUGGUUGCAACAGGAAUUAAGUUGGUAUUAAGUUAAGGAAGAUCAUUAUAACUUCGAUAUAUACAAUUUGAAAAUAUCAGUUUUAUAACAUAUUCUCAUAUAUCUUCCUUUAAUUAAACCAAUUAAAUAAUAAAUAUGACAUUUUUUUUUAUUAUUUUCUGAAAUGUGGUGAUGAACAAAUAGAUUUGAAACUUGUUCU
Magallana angulata is the source of this 3084-nucleotide long non-coding RNA. RefSeq lists it as uncharacterized. The transcript has 4 exons. The record is from RefSeq and is a predicted model, not a curated record. Lineage: Eukaryota; Metazoa; Mollusca; Bivalvia; Ostreida; Ostreidae.